This 382-nucleotide ribosomal RNA is filed under the name uncultured bacterium. RNAcentral's name for it is "bacterial SSU rRNA". It matches the Rfam family "Bacterial small subunit ribosomal RNA", at positions 29 to 412 of the family's 1533-position model. The record is from RNAcentral.
AUUAAACGCUGGCGGCAUGCCUUACACAUGCAAGUCGAACGGCAGCACGGGGGCAACCCUGGUGGCGAGUGGCGAACGGGUGAGUAAAGCAUCGGAACGUGCCCUGAAGUGGGGGAUAACGUAGCGAAAGUUACGCUAAUACCGCAUAUUCUGUGAGCAGGAAAGCAGGGGAUCGCAAGACCUUGCGCUCUGGGAGCGGCCGAUGUCGGAUUAGCUAGUUGGUGGGGUAAAGGCCUACCAAGGCGACGAUCCGUAGCGGGUCUGAGAGGAUGAUCCGCCACACUGGGACUGAGACACGGCCCAGACUCCUACGGGAGGCAGCAGUGGGGAAUUUUGGACAAUGGGCGAAAGCCUGAUCCAGCCAUGCCGCGUGAGUGAAGAA